UACGUAGGGAGCAAGCGUUGUUCGGAUUUACUGGGCGUAAAGGGCGCGUAGGCGGCCUUCUAAGUCGAACGUGAAAUCCCCGGGCUCAACCCGGGAACUGCGUCCGAUACUGGAAGGCUUGAAUCCGGGAGAGGGAUGCGGAAUUCCAGGUGUAGCGGUGAAAUGCGUAGAUAUCUGGAGGAACACCGGUGGCGAAGGCGGCAUCCUGGACCGGCAUUGACGCUGAGGCGCGAAAGCCAGGGGAGCAAACGGG
This 253-nucleotide ribosomal RNA is filed under the name uncultured bacterium. Its description in RNAcentral is "partial 16S ribosomal RNA". It matches the Rfam family "Bacterial small subunit ribosomal RNA", at positions 524 to 776 of the family's 1533-position model. The record is from RNAcentral.